RNAcentral lists this ribosomal RNA (1018 nucleotides) under Sordariomycetes sp. genotype 131. RNAcentral's name for it is "eukaryotic LSU rRNA". The stretch from base 435 to 1018 matches the Rfam family "Eukaryotic large subunit ribosomal RNA", at positions 1 to 596 of the family's 3401-position model. Lineage: Eukaryota; Fungi; Ascomycota; Sordariomycetes. The record is from RNAcentral.
GGAUCAUUGAAGAGUCUCACCUCUCCAAACCCUGUGAACAAACCCCGUUGCCUCGGCGGCCCCCGGGCCGCCGCAGGCCCACCAAAACUAUUUUACUGUGGCACUCUGAGCAUACUGUACGAGCCAAAACUUUCAGCAACGGAUCUCUUGGUUCUGGCAUCGAUGAAGAACGCAGCGAAAUGCGAUACGUAAUGCGAAUUGCAGAAUUCAGUGAGUCAUCGAAUCUUUGAACGCACAUUGCGCCCGCCGGCAUCCCGGCGGGCAUGCCUGUUCGAGCGUCAUUUCAACCCUCAGGCCCAGCCUGGUGAUGGGGCGCCGCUCCGCGCGGCCCCCGAAAAGCAGUGGCGGGCUCGCUGUGAACCCGGGCGUAGUAGCACACCUCGCCCUGGGAGCACGGCGGCACCCUGCCGUUAAACACCCCACAAACACAAGGUUGACCUCGGAUCAGGUAGGAAUACCCGCUGAACUUAAGCAUAUCAAUAAGCGGAGGAAAAGAAACCAACAGGGAUUGCCUCAGUAACGGCGAGUGAAGCGGCAACAGCUCAAAUUUGAAAGCUGGCCUCACGGCCCGCGUUGUAAUUUGCAGAGGAUGAUUCGGGCGAGGCCCCUUCUGAGUCCCCUGGAACGGGGCGCCACAGAGGGUGAGAGCCCCGUAUAGCAGGCGGCCGAGCCCAUGUGAAUCUCCUUCGACGAGUCGAGUAGUUUGGGAAUGCUGCUCUAAAUGGGAGGUAAAUUCCUUCUAAAGCUAAAUACCGGCCAGAGACCGAUAGCGCACAAGUAGAGUGAUCGAAAGAUGAAAAGCACUUUGAAAAGAGGGUUAAAUAGCACGUGAAAUUGCUGAAAGGGAAGCGCUCCUGACCAGACGCGCGCCGGGCGGAUCAUCCAGCGUUCUCGCUGGUGCACUCCGCCCGGCGCGGGCCAGCAUCGGUUCUCGUGGGGGGACAAAGCCGCCGGAAAGUAGCUCCCUCCGGGGAGUGUUAUAGCCGGCGGUCACGCCCCCGCGGGGACCGAGGUCCGC